Molecule: long non-coding RNA, 295 nt
Filed under: Pan troglodytes (chimpanzee)
Lineage: Eukaryota; Metazoa; Chordata; Mammalia; Primates; Hominidae
Description: long non-coding RNA NONPTRT003006
Source: RNAcentral
CCGCAGUGAGGGGUGGGCGUUGAGCGGGGUUGGCUGGGAGUGGGAGCAGAAGACUUUACUGGAGGAGGAGAUAUAAAUCGGAGCAAACCUCUAGAGCUGAUACUGAUGCCCUCUUUGCCAAGCUUUGAGGCUGGUUAUUUAUUUCCUAAAAGUUGGCCUUGAAUCAUUUAUGAUGAUGAUGACUGAGGACCAUUUAUAACCUACUUAGUCACAGGGGCUGAAAAAACACUACCCACGAUGCUCGAUUUAACCUUCAUAAAAGUCCUAUAAUGUAGGUAAAAUAUGAUUCUAAUAU